Molecule: microRNA precursor, 69 nt
Filed under: Tursiops truncatus (common bottlenose dolphin)
Lineage: Eukaryota; Metazoa; Chordata; Mammalia; Artiodactyla; Delphinidae
Description: miRNA (ENSTTRG00000025263.1)
Source: RNAcentral
ACCAGCUGUCCUGGUUUGCCUGAGACUGAGGGGUUUCCUGAGACUUGGGACUUGCUUUGCUAAAGCUGG